GAACUUUUGAAAGAUGUACUAGAUCGGUAUAAAACCAUGAGGUGGACAUUCUAAGUAAAUCACUUCGAUUGAUUACUCAAACUGAUUCACUUUGAUUGUCCACCUUAUGCUUUUGAAUCUAUCCAGUACGUAAUUCGGAACUUC
Molecule: non-coding RNA, 144 nt
Organism: Marchantia polymorpha subsp. ruderalis
Lineage: Eukaryota; Viridiplantae; Streptophyta; Marchantiopsida; Marchantiales; Marchantiaceae
Source: the annotation of a GenBank genome assembly